This 477-nucleotide ribosomal RNA is filed under the name uncultured bacterium. RNAcentral describes it as "partial 16S ribosomal RNA". It matches the Rfam family "Bacterial small subunit ribosomal RNA", at positions 28 to 507 of the family's 1533-position model. The record is from RNAcentral.
GAUAAACGCUGGCGGCGUGCAUAACACAUGCAAGUCGAACGAUGAAGCUUAAAACAUUUCUUCGGAAUGAACUUAAUUGGAUUAGUGGCGGACGGGUGAGUAACGCGUGAGUAACCUGCCUUGUACAAGGGGAUAGCCGUUGGAAACGACGAAUAAUACCCUAUGACAUCAAAUAAUCGCAUGAUAAUUUGAUCAAAGAUUUAUCGGUAUAAGAUGGACUCGCGUCUGAUUAGCUAGUUGGUAGAGUAAAAGCCUACCAAGGCAACGAUCAGUAGCCGGCUUGAGAGAGUGUACGGCCACAUUGGGACUGAGACACGGCCCAGACUCCUACGGGAGGCAGCAGUGGGGAAUUUUGCACAAUGGGGGAAACCCUGAUGCAGCGACGCCGCGUGAUUUAGAAGGCCUUCGGGUUGUAAAAAUCUUUUGUAUGGGAAGAAAAUGACAGUACCAUACGAAUAAGGACCGGCUAAUUACGUG